RNAcentral lists this ribosomal RNA (1352 nucleotides) under uncultured bacterium. Its description in RNAcentral is "bacterial SSU rRNA". It matches the Rfam family "Bacterial small subunit ribosomal RNA", at positions 28 to 1381 of the family's 1533-position model. The record is from RNAcentral.
AUUGAACGCUGGCGGCAUGCCUUACACAUGCAAGUCGAACGGCAGCACGGAGCUUGCUCUGGUGGCGAGUGGCGAACGGGUGAGUAAUAUAUCGGAACGUACCCUAGAGUGGGGGAUAACGUAGCGAAAGUUACGCUAAUACCGCAUACGAUCUAAGGAUGAAAGUGGGGGAUCGCAAGACCUCAUGCUCGUGGAGCGGCCGAUAUCUGAUUAGCUAGUUGGUAGGGUAAAAGCCUACCAAGGCAUCGAUCAGUAGCUGGUCUGAGAGGACGACCAGCCACACUGGAACUGAGACACGGUCCAGACUCCUACGGGAGGCAGCAGUGGGAAAUUUUGGACAAUGGGCGAAAGCCUGAUCCAGCAAUGCCGCGUGAGUGAAGAAGGCCUUCGGGUUGUAAAGCUCUUUUGUCAGGGAAGAAACGGUGGGAGCUAAUAUCUCUUGCUAAUGACGGUACCUGAAGAAUAAGCACCGGCUAACUACGUGCCAGCAGCCGCGGUAAUACGUAGGGUGCAAGCGUUAAUCGGAAUUACUGGGCGUAAAGCGUGCGCAGGCGGUUUUGUAAGUCUGAUGUGAAAUCCCCGGGCUCAACCUGGGAAUUGCAUUGGAGACUGCAAGGCUAGAAUCUGGCAGAGGGGGGUAGAAUUCCACGUGUAGCAGUGAAAUGCGUAGAUAUAUGGAGGAACACCGAUGGCGAAGGCAGCCCCCUGGGUCAAGAUUGACGCUCAUGCACGAAAGCGUGGGGAGCAAACAGGAUUAGAUACCCUGGUAGUCCACGCCCUAAACGAUGUCUACUAGUUGUCGGGUCUUAAUUGACUUGGUAACGCAGCUAACGCGUGAAGUAGACCGCCUGGGGAGUACGGUCGCAAGAUUAAAACUCAAAGGAAUUGACGGGGACCCGCACAAGCGGUGGAUGAUGUGGAUUAAUUCGAUGCAACGCGAAAAACCUUACCUACCCUUGACAUGGCUGGAAUCCUUGAGAGAUCAGGGAGUGCUCGAAAGAGAACCAGUACACAGGUGCUGCAUGGCUGUCGUCAGCUCGUGUCGUGAGAUGUUGGGUUAAGUCCCGCAACGAGCGCAACCCUUGUCAUUAGUUGCUACGAAAGGGCACUCUAAUGAGACUGCCGGUGACAAACCGGAGGAAGGUGGGGAUGACGUCAAGUCCUCAUGGCCCUUAUGGGUAGGGCUUCACACGUCAUACAAUGGUACAUACAGAGCGCCGCCAACCCGCGAGGGGGAGCUAAUCGCAGAAAGUGUAUCGUAGUCCGGAUUGUAGUCUGCAACUCGACUGCAUGAAGUUGGAAUCGCUAGUAAUCGCGGAUCAGCAUGUCGCGGUGAAUACGUUCCCGGGUCU